CUAAGAGAUGGACCUGCGUUGUAUUAGCUAGUUUGNUGAGGUAACGGCUCACCAAGGCGACGAUACAUAGCCGACCUGAGAGGGUGAUCGGCCACACUGGGACUGAGACACGGCCCAGACUCCUACGGGAGGCAGCAGUAGGGAAUCUUCGGCAAUGGGGGCAACCCUGACCGAGCAACGCCGCGUGAGUGAAGAAGGUUUUCGGAUCGUAAAGCUCUGUUGUAAGAGAAGAACGAGUGUGAGAGUGGAAAGUUCACACUGUGACGGUAACUUACCAGAAAGGGACGGCUAACUACGUGCCAGCAGCCGCGGUAAUACGUAGGUCCCGAGCGUUAUCCGGAUUUAUUGGGCGUAAAGCGAGCGCAGGCGGUUAGAUAAGUCUGAAGUUAAAGGCUGUGGCUUAACCAUAGUACGCUUUGGAAACUGUUUAACUUGAGUGCAGAAGGGGAGAGUGGAAUUCCAUGUGUAGCGGUGAAAUGCGUAGAUAUAUGGAGGAACACNCGGUGGCGAAAGCG
This 515-nucleotide ribosomal RNA is filed under the name uncultured Bacilli bacterium. Its description in RNAcentral is "bacterial SSU rRNA". It matches the Rfam family "Bacterial small subunit ribosomal RNA", at positions 218 to 723 of the family's 1533-position model. Lineage: Bacteria; Bacillati; Bacillota; Bacilli. The record is from RNAcentral.